CAAUAGCGUAUAUUAAAGUUGUUGCGGUUAAAAAGCUCGUAGUUGGAUUUCUGCUGAGAACGACCGGUCCGCCCUUUGGGUGUGUAUCUGGCUCUUUCUUGGCAUCUUUUUGGUGAACGUUGCUGCACUUGACUGUGUGGAGCGCUACCCAGGACUUUUACUUUGAGGAAAUUAGAGUGUUUCAAGCAGGCAUACGCCUUGAAUACAUUAGCAUGGAAUAAUAAGAUAGGACCUCGGUUCUAUUUUGUUGGUUUCUAGAGCUGAGGUAAUGAUUAAUAGGGAUAGUUGGGGGCAUUCGUAUUUAACUGUCAGAGGUGAGAUUCUUGGAUUUGUUAAAGACGGACUACUGCGAAAGCAUUUGCCAAGGAUGUUUUCAUUGA
Molecule: ribosomal RNA, 380 nt
Filed under: uncultured eukaryote
Lineage: Eukaryota
Description: partial 18S ribosomal RNA
Rfam family: Eukaryotic small subunit ribosomal RNA
Source: RNAcentral